RNAcentral lists this ribosomal RNA (476 nucleotides) under uncultured bacterium. RNAcentral describes it as "partial 16S ribosomal RNA". It matches the Rfam family "Bacterial small subunit ribosomal RNA", at positions 29 to 523 of the family's 1533-position model. The record is from RNAcentral.
AGUGAACGCUGGCGGCGUGCCUAACACAUGCAAGUCGAACGAUGAUUGAGAGCUUGCUCUCAUGAUUAGUGGCGCACGGGUGAGUAUACCAUAGAUAAUGUACCUCUUAGUUCGGGAUAGCCACUGGAAACGGUGAUUAAUACCGGAUACUCCUUCUUGUCUUAAGGCAAGUCGGGAAAGUUUUUUCGCUAAGAGAUCAGUCUAUGUCCUAUCAGCUAGUUGGUGAGGUAAUGGCUCACCAAGGCUAUGACGGGUAUCUGGUUUGAGAGGAUGAUCAGACACACUGGAACUGAGACACGGUCCAGACUCCUACGGGAGGCAGCAGUGAGGAAUAUUGCACAAUGGAGGAAACUCUGAUGCAGCAACGCCGCGUGGAGGAUGACGCAUUUCGGUGUGUAAACUCCUUUUAAGAGGGAAGAUAAUGACGGUACCUCUUGAAUAAGCACCGGCUAACUCCGUGCCAGCAGCCGCAGUAA